GUGUAAACCGGGCCAGGGUUGCAUCAUGAGCGGGCUCGGGUUUUCGAUUGCACCCUUCGUAAUACCUCAGCAUCAGUCUGCACGAGCUCAGGAGCCCGGGAGCUACGAAGGGCAGGCUCAAGGGAGCGCCACCAAAUCCUUUGGGGUGGGGGGACUUGAAUGGCAGCCGAUAGCUAAUAAGCCAGUGUUCUGCUGAUUCACAAUUAUGGAGACUGUGUAAUUGAAGAUAGAAGAGAGGUCUGAAGAAAAAGGAUUUGCCUGCGUUGCUUCUGAAUGUGCUGGACCUGGAACCCUGGACCUUGUGCAUGCUAGCAAGGUUUAUCUGCUGAAAUUUCAUCUUGGGAAGUGCCAAGACCCUGGCCUGGCCUGGAAUCUUACUUUAUCUUCUGUGAGGCUCCCUGUCCCAGAGCCAGCUACACUUUAAGGAAGAUAGGGGACUACUGACAAGAUAAAAACCUUCCAUCUUGGUGGAAAGCUCCUCAAGAUACAGGCUGGUCUUAGAGGAAGUGAAACAUUCCAUCCUGCUGGGAAGCUCUCUAAGCCCAUAAGGUAAACAACUCACAGGAUUUAGGAACUCCCUGAAACUGAUCAGAUUAGGUCUCUCCCUCCUCAAGCCUGUAUAAGCAGUAAGGUUGAAAGCCCCUUCAGACAAGCUGAGCUACCUAGAAGAGGCACAGAGCAGGUGAACCAUCUGGAACAGAGACCACCCAAGCUACCUUGAAGAAACACAGACCAGCUGAGCUGUCUGUAGGUUGUCUAUGCUGUGUGCUCUAGGUUUUCAGCUUUUAUGAGCUGUCACCUAUACUGUGGUGGGCUUUUAGUGAUGCAACUGUGUUUAGUCAUUUCUGCUCCUUAAGUAGGCCUUCACCCACAUUCUUAAAAGUAACCCCAAUAAAACUCAUUGGUUUAACAGUAUGGAAUUUGGUAGUAUCCAUUUGGUCUGUUGUUAGUUCCCUAUGUGGAUUGCAUCAAUGCUGUUUAUGUUUCCCCAGGACUAGUGUCACCCAGCAUCUCAAAAGCAGGCUGGGUAAUGUUCAGGGUAGCUCAGAUUGUCUUGUGAUCAUACAAAACAAAAUGUAUAUUAGAGGAUGUCCCUCAGUAGUAGAGUAACUGUGUUGCACGUCAAAAUCCUUGACUGGGUUUCAGGUGAG
This 1151-nucleotide long non-coding RNA is filed under the name Cricetulus griseus (Chinese hamster). RNAcentral describes it as "lncRNA (ENSCGRG00015042032.1)". Lineage: Eukaryota; Metazoa; Chordata; Mammalia; Rodentia; Cricetidae. The record is from RNAcentral.